CAUUAUCAAACUGGCAAAUUAUCACAUUAACGCUUUUCAUCGUGGAAAUGUUCCCCUGUUUUGGAUUUUGAUUAUAUUAGCCAGCGUAACUCAGCCACUAGCUAGCUGUAUUCUGUUCUCCCAUUUCAGAUGAUAAUUUUAUUACUCCAAUAUUUUUUGGGGUUAUGUGGACAAUAUAAAGUUGUUUUGUACCGUGAACACUAACUUUUCCUACUUCGUUUCUGAGAAAUCCGUCGAGUUUGGUCGGUAAUUUAGUCGUAGUGCGUAGUGUAAAGUACUACAAUACCCAUGAUCCUUAGAUGCUGUUAUCGAGAUACGGCCUAUACGCCAGUCAUGGAUGUGUUCGUAACGAGUAAGAUCCGUAACGAACAGAAAACGCUUUGUUAUUAAAGGUAUGCGUAUACAUUCCUAAACCUAAAGUUUUCUAAUGCACCCAUGGGGGAUUCACUAAUUAAAACAGAAAACGUUACGUGUAGUUAGUGAAAUACGUUUAAUUACGGCGUAAUGCUUAUUCCCCGCCGUAAGCGGGUCACAUGACCGAAUUUUAAGAUCAAUGAUUGGGUCUUGUUCUUAAACGUCACAUAGAGAGUCGCAGUUAAAUUAUGGUCGUGUCUACGUCUCAACGUUUUAUUAAAAUAAUAAUUAAACAGACAGAUAAGGGAUUACUUAUAUUAUUUUGCUUUUAUAUUUACUGUUGGAUUAGUUAUUUUGCUUUCCCUAUACUUCUUUUCCAAGUAUGAAUUUACCAUUUUUAGGUUUGACUCUUGAUAUCUCCUUGUUUCCAGGCUUUACUGUCAUAUUGGAGAUACUGGAGAUAUGGUGAAACACAGGACAAGUGUGCGAUCUACGAAACAUAGAGUAUGUGUUCGUCGGAGGAUCAUUGGUGGUGCUACCAAAGUUUCUGUUUUGAGAAACGUUUCACAUCCACCUGUAACUGUGGAUGUUACACCUGUCACCACCACAUCAUCUCUGGAUGAACAUUCAGAGGCAGAACCAAGCAGCAGUUGCAUGUCCGAGACUGCUUACACAAAAGCAAAGAAGAAGGAGCUCAGGGCCUGGGACUCAUUGAAGGAGGAUAUGCUGCGGGUAUCUUAUGAGUCAUCAGCACCAUCUACAAAUAUCUGUGCUCUCUGCAAAGAGCAUGCAGAGAGUAGGUGCCUUGAGUGCAGCAGUACUAAUAUGUUUUGUGAGACCUGUAUCACAAAAACCCACCGCAAUUCCUUGCACCUACCAGAGAAAUGGAAUAAAACAUUGUAUGUGACAUCUCCACUUGAAUUAGCACUACGCUUACCAGGAGAACAUUGUUCUCAUGCUGUGUACGCAAGAGAUAUGAAAAUAUUUGUGAACACAGGCCAGUUGUGCAGCUUCAGCGUGACUCUUUGUACAUGUGAACCAGAAACUUGCACCCUGCUCAGAUAUGGAAUCUGGCCUGCGACACCAGAGAGGCCUCAAACAGCGUUCUCUAUAGCUCUUUUGGAGCUUUUUCAUUAUCUGUCCAUGGAAUGCCAGGUAUCUGUUGAGGGAUUCUGCAAUAUGUUGCGGUGGAAAAACAAUCUGUCUCUUUCAGAGGUUAACAUGCUCUACAGAGCUCUGGUGGGAGAAUCUAUAUCCCAGUUUCGCCACCACCACUUUAGAUGCAGAAGUUUAUCUGGUCUUUGUCCCUCAUUUGAUGAUGGAACAACAUGCCCAGUAUGUCCUAAGAGUAACGGCAAUCUGAUUGUAACAAUGGAUGCCAACUUUGGCCUUGUUCGAAAAAGAAGUUCAGGAAGUAGUUUGGUGGAGCCGUUGCAUGGUAACAGAAUGUUUGUGAGGGAAGAAGAUGUGCAAGAAUACCUGUCAUCCCAUCCUGAUGGUUCCAAGCCAAAUGAAGACUGUAGUAAUUUCAAGGCAGGGAACCUGCUUCGUUCUCAAAAAAACCAACAAAAACUAGAUGUAACAGGGGUGUUUGGAGUCUCUUGCCGCCAUGAGAUUCCGUUGGUGUUUUUGAACAUGACCCAGGGAGAACGGCUAGCAUAUCCAAUGUAUAUAAUCAAAGAACUCCUAACAAGGAAUCAGGGCAAGAACCUGAAUCUGUAUGUCAUAUAUGACAUUGCAUGUGUACUUUCAUCACACAUGCAUGUGAGUAUGUUAUCACUAAAAAUGGGCACAAAUUACUUUUGUCUAAUUUAUUUUUGUUAUUAGUCUUUUGAUACUUUAACAUAAAGGGUUAUACAUAAAACAAUUAUGUUUGAGUUCAGUGUGCUGUAAGUGUCUUCAUAGGUUCUGUACAGUACGAGAAGAUUAAAAGGCUUUGGGCUAACAGAUGGAGAAGGUAUGGAGAGGUUAUGGUCCUUCCUUAGAAGAUUUGCUCGUGUCACAAAAGAGAUGAGUCCAUCCCACCGGCUUGACCUCUUGACUGAAGUACUUCUUUAUUAUGGGAGGAGAAAAUCAGCUGAUAUAGAAGUGCAGCUCGAUCACAGAUGGGAAAAAGCAGAGAAGGUCACUAAUCUAGCUAAAGAGGAGUUAGCUGCUGUCUUAAAAGAGGCACCAGCGAGUGUUUCAGAGCACAAUGUACAGAGAUGAAUGGAAACGGAGAACGAAGUUGCUAGAUUGACAGUUUUGAAAACCAAAAUAGCAGACAGUGUUCCCAAAUGGAAGAGGGUGUAUGUGACAACGCUGAUUGAGCUCCAGCAGCUCAAUGAACACUGUUAGAGCUCGACCAGGACAUUCGAGGUAAACUGGUCAUGCAGGCACGAACUGAGGCAAGGGAAAGACUUACACUUCUUCAAUUGAAGCGGAAAUACCCAGAUGGACAGGGAAUUGCUGUCAGAUUGUCUAAACAAAUUAAGGCCUGUAACAAGAGACUGAGGAAAACCAUAACAGAUUACAACAGUCUGCAAUGGCCACCACAGACAACCAUCUUCCCACCACAGAUGGAUUUUCAAGAAGCAUGUGAUCCCUUCUGGCCUGUCUACUGUAGCAUUGAUGAAAAUACAGAGGAAGGAGACUUUUCACGAUCCCUCAAAAGACGUGCCAUUGAUGCAUUGCACCUGAAGACCAGGGCUGCUGAGGAGAAGAUCAUGCUUCAGGAUGAAAUGAAGACUUUAAUACAUCAUGUUCAGCAACAACAUGCUUCUUUACACUCAGCUAUUACUAAUACCAAGCAACCUGGCCGAGCUGUUCUUGUUGGCACCAUUAUAAACUUGGAACAGAAACUACAUAAUGCUACCUUGAUGUUCCAGCAACACAUUCCAAGUAUUGCUCCUCUUUCACACGCUUACCUGCCACAGUUGAAUGUAGUCCGCCAGAACGUGAUAUCACCGGAUGUGUACAUGGCUUUAUUCAACGACGAUGAUGAUGAUGAUGAAGAUGGUAAUGAUGAUGAUGAGGAGGAUUGUGAUGAUAGCAUUUAAAGCUAAAAUAAAAUGCAGAUUCAUCCAACACAGAAUCUAAAAUGACAAACUUGUAAAUAUGCAAGCAGGAUUGUGCAAAUGUACUUAUUUAGGUAUUCCUAAAGCCUGUGUUUUGUGAAAGUGUAUGAAAUAAAAAGAGUUUAAAAGAAGAGAAUAAAUGUUUUUGUCUUUUUAAAUGGUAAAUGUGCUACAAGAAUAAGGUUAUUUAGUUAUGAUGGUUGGGGUUAAGGGCUAAGGAAUGCAUAUGCACAUGAUGUGUUCACAU
This is an RNA transcript of Betta splendens (Siamese fighting fish), 3657 nucleotides long. RefSeq lists it as uncharacterized. Lineage: Eukaryota; Metazoa; Chordata; Actinopteri; Anabantiformes; Osphronemidae. The record is from RefSeq and is a predicted model, not a curated record. The transcript is spliced from 13 exons.